Molecule: RNA transcript, 2556 nt
Organism: Drosophila subpulchrella
Lineage: Eukaryota; Metazoa; Arthropoda; Insecta; Diptera; Drosophilidae
Exons: 3
Source: RefSeq, a predicted model, not a curated record
GUGGCGCCCACAAUUUUUAUGCUAGAUACAAAAUUUUAACUGAAAUAUAUUGAUAUCGUCAAUACCUAUACAUCAGAGCUCGCAAAUAACUGUCGACCGUUUCUCGUUGUCUGAAAAUAAGUGUCUUUUCCUGACUCUUUACGAAAAGACUCAGAGAGCAACCGAUUUAUGGGUUCUUGAAUGAGCUCGCUCGCGCUCAGAGCGAAACCUUUUUUUUCUAUUCUGUUUUGUUAUGGUUGUUCCAGGACCGUUUUGUCCUGUUCAGGUGAGGCAAACGGUCUUUUGCGUAUGUAUUGGUAUACACUCACACGCAUAGGCAAGCAAAUCGUUAAUCGUCGGUUUUGCAGCCGAAAUAUAUUAAUUGCAGUCGUGAACUGAGUGUGUGAAGUUGUGCAAUUAUUUUGUUCUGUAAAAUGGGAAGAGAAUUGAAUAAAAAAGUGCACCAAUUCUUUAAAUUUAAUUUGGAAGAGAACAAGUCAAUUUGUAGUGUUUGUGGUAUUAAAUUGUCCGGCAAUCAUUCAACAAACCUUAGACGGCAUUUAACAACGAAACAUAUGGACAUUUUUAAUGAGUGCAACAAUUCUGGACAUUCACAAUCGACCCAAUGUGAAGAAAAACGAAGAACAUCGUAUCAAACGAGCGAAGAAGCAAUUGUUUCUUCUUUGAUUAAAAUAGUAACCACGGACGGAAAACCAUUUAUAUUUCUAGACAGUGAAGGGUUCAAAGAAAUUAUGGACCCAAUAUAUAAUGCACUUGGCAUGAACCCCGUAACGUCUCGAAAUAUUAUGAAUUUUGUGUCAGUCAAAGACCAGUUUGUCAAAGAAAACAUAGGGGCUCUUGUGAAGGGAAAGCUGGUGUCCUUGAAAAUCGAUGUGAUGGAUAAAGCCAUUCUGGGAAUAAAUUUGCAAAUGGUCCACGCAAGCCUGGCUAAAACCGAGAUUAUUGUAAAGACUUUAGGCAUGAUUGAGCUCGGGGGAUCUCACACUGGAAUAUACAUGAAGAACAAAAUUCUAGAAGUCUUAGAUGAUAAUGGAAUAUCACUAGAUCAAAUCUACAGCGUCUGAUAAUGGGCGAAACAUGAUAAAGGCCGUCCAAGUGUUAAAUGAUGCCACAGAGGAAUCCCUUUUUGAAGAAGACACAGAAAGUGAGAAUCAUCUGAAUGAACUGGAUACUAUUGAACUUGCUAAUAUACACCUUGUGAGAUGUGCAGCACACACUUUGCAACUGUGCAUAUUCGAUGUAAACAAGGCAAAGGAGAUCGCCGAUAAAAUAAGUUCCUGUCGCACAUUAUGCAAAUCGCUGCGCACAGAAACAUAUAGACGUAUCUUAAUUGAGAACCAAAGAAACCUACCAUCGCUCGACGUUGCUACAAGGUGGAAUUCAACCUAUUUAAUGCUAAAAAGAUUAUUGGACCUAAAGGAUUUCCUGGCUACGCAGUCUUAUAUUUGUGUAGAUCCCGAUUGGGAUUGGAUCGACACGUACAUUGACGCUUUCAGUGAUACAUACCAGGCAACCCUAAAGCUACAAGAUAAAAACUUAGUUUAUAGUGAGUUCUUCGUAGUAUGGAUGAAACUAAAAUUGAAAUGCGAGAAUAGCCACAAUUUGAUUAAAAAAAAACUAUCGGCACAGAUAAAAAUAAGAGAAAGUAAGCUGUUAGAAAAUGAAGCAUUGUUGGCAGCGAUUUACAUGGAUCCUCGGGUAAAUUGCAUGUUGACGAACUACCAGAAAUCGUUAGCAAAGGCUAAUUUAAAAAAAAAUAGCUUUUCGUUUAUUUGAGUUGAAACAAGUAAGCCUGUAUGUCGUAGAAUGUUUGAAAUUUGGGUCCUGUUUUGUUUAUGUUGUAAUUUUAAGAAACUAUGUUAAUAAUUAAGAUUGUCUUCGUCAAAUACUAAUACUUGUACUAAACUAAAAUCCAAAAAACAUUUCAUACUUAUAGCUUUGUUAUUUAAGGCACAAACACCAAAUGUUCCGGCGCUCGAAACUCCUGUGCGUGAAGAGAUGUUUGACUCCUCAUUCUCGUCAACUCUUUCAACCGCAUCCUCAUCUGAAGAGAAGUCGCUGUUCUCGGCAUUUUUGGACGAUUUUCAGACAGUGUCAGAAAGCAAAAAAGAUCCUGUUUCUGCAAAACUUGUCAAAAUUUAUGCUGACAUCGAAAACUUCGACGUUACUUUUGGGCGCUUGCCAUUAAAUUCAAAUAUAUUGGAAUUUUUAAUGACUUGCAGCGUAAGCUUCCUCAUAUAAGUGCACUAGCGCAAGUUGUGCUGGCGACACCUGCAACGCAAGUUUCCGUCGAACGAGCAUUCUCAGCCUUACACUUUAUAUUAAGUGAACGAAGAAGUUCGAAUAGUGCAGAGAAUCUGAACGCCUUACUAGUUAUAAAGCUUAACACAUAAUAUAUAAAAAAUGUUACAAAAAUAUAUAUGGGCAUUUCCACGGGUCGCGAACGUACGUUCGAACGCGUUUAAUGCAAAAAAAAUGUAAAAACAACAUUCUGAAACUUUUUAUUGCUUUUGAUAUCAAUUUGUUAUAUGGAAUAUGGAAUCGAAAUGGAACUUG